This 468-nucleotide ribosomal RNA is filed under the name uncultured bacterium. Its description in RNAcentral is "partial 16S ribosomal RNA". It matches the Rfam family "Bacterial small subunit ribosomal RNA", at positions 28 to 507 of the family's 1533-position model. The record is from RNAcentral.
GACGAACGCUGGCGGCGUGCUUAACACAUGCAAGUCGAACGGAAAGGCCCUGCUUUUGUGGGAUGCUCGAGUGGCGAACGGGUGAGUAACACGUGAGUAACCUGCCCUUGACUUUGGGAUAACUUCAGGAAACUGGGGCUACUACCGGAUAGGAGCUCCUGCUGCAUGGUGGGGUUUGGAAAGUUUCGGCGGUUGGGGAUGGACUCGCGGCUUAUCAGCUUGUUGGUGGGGUAGUGGCUUACCAAGGCUUUGACGGUUAGCCGGCCUGAGAGGGUGACCGGCCACAUUGGGACUGAGAUACGGACCAGACUCCUACGGGAGGCAGCAGUGGGGAAUAUUGCACAAUGGGCGGAAGCCUGAUGCAGCAACGCCGCGUGCGGGAUGACGGCCUUCGGGUUGUAAACCGCUUUCGCCUGUGACGAAGCGUGAGUGACGGUAAUGGGUAAAGAAGCACCGGCUAACUACGUG